GAGGGCACCCCCCGAAACGGGCUGCACCCCACAACUGCGCGCGUAGCCCGUGGGAGGUGUUUUUGGCGGGGGGUCGGGAAGUCGUGGCGUACGUACCCCCGGCGGGCCUGGGCAGGCCGAACUCGGAGGUGCGAGGAGCGGCUAGGGUUGGCGGCGGUCGCUUCUGGAGCUGGAAGGGCAGAUCUAGUCAGAAACGCGCUAUUUUGUGCACACCUGUAAAUAGGCGUUAAAACGUGAUUGCUAGCUGAAUGUCUGAUCGUUUGGACAUAAACUGCAGUGAGAAGUGUCAGACCGAACAUCAGACAUCUUUUAACACCAUUUCCAGGUUACAAAUUUAGCCUGGUAAGGGCUGAAGGAAUCCAAAGAGCACAGGUGCGCACCUUUCUUGGGCCCUUCCCCGAGGGGGCAGUCAGUGUGCUCGCUUCCACCAAUGGCGCUGGGUGAACUUUUCUCUUUCAGAAGUCUAGCACCAGAACAUCGCAGCUGUGAGGGGACAAAUGAAGCGUAACGGCAUGAAUGCUCUGGGAAGCUGCACCCUCACUGUCAGUGGCUGAGCACCACCCUCAUUAAGUUUGCAAUUGCCUGGAUGUAUUUUGCUCUGGGCUUACCUACUGCUUUAUCACGUCAUAAAUGCAGGAGGCUGGGUUUCCAUUUUGACCUAACUCUGACUGGCCUUAUAACACCAUGUGCAGAAGUGGUCCAAAACCAAGAUCCAGCUGCAGGAACAGUUGUACGUUCCCCCUCACAGUCGGCUGCAGUGAGGACAUGGUGGAUGUGCCCUCCUAAUGUCAAAACUGAAGUUGCUAAUCUUGUUAUUGAGGAACAUUUGCAGAGCAGGAGUUAAGGUGGCUGUGAGGCAGCCAUGUGCUGAAGAUCAAACCAAGUGUACAGAGCUAGAAGAGUGGCUUGAAGCCAUAUUUCGUGAUAAUGGUGAUGAUGAUGAUGAAUGGUGAUUAACUCCUGUACCCCACCCUCCAUUUCUGACCAGCCACACCUGGGAAUGUAGAACCCAUCCUAUUGCUCAUCUAAGCCUCCUAUAACACAACUCUUCUAAAGCUGGGAAGCGCUAGACAAGGGUCUGUAUUACGGGUGCGCUCUACUUGGCACCACUGUGCAUGGCCUCCUCGUUUCCCUGGCAGAGGACCUAUUUCACAUACAGCUGUAUUGUACAUUGGAGCAAUGCACAGAACUCCAGCUGUAAGGAAGAUUACACUUGACGUGAACUCCAUUACAUAUUAAACUGCUAAUUGAGAAGCAACCCACACCUUCCACCAGCUGUUUGGGAUAUGUGUUUGAAUAUGCCCCUCAGGUUCAGCGCUUACCUCCAGCUGCCUAUGGCACUGGCCAAACCAAGAGCAGUCAGUCGCAGGAGGGUCCCUGACCGUCCAGCCUGCAGGAUAAGACCCCCAUCACGUUGCGGGAGCAGGGGGUGCGGCGGGCACAACGGAGAGCCGCUCCGGGCACGGGGAAGGAAGGG
Grus americana (Whooping crane) is the source of this 1477-nucleotide long non-coding RNA. RefSeq lists it as uncharacterized. The record is from RefSeq and is a predicted model, not a curated record. Lineage: Eukaryota; Metazoa; Chordata; Aves; Gruiformes; Gruidae. The transcript is spliced from 3 exons.